Long non-coding RNA from Crotalus tigris (Tiger rattlesnake), 1379 nucleotides. RefSeq lists it as uncharacterized. The record is from RefSeq and is a predicted model, not a curated record. The transcript has 2 exons. Lineage: Eukaryota; Metazoa; Chordata; Lepidosauria; Squamata; Viperidae.
CGCUUUCCCCCGAACCGGCAGCUGCGCCUCCGAAACCGAGACCGGCGCCCCGAACCGUGAUCCGCGCGGCCUCUCCGGGUGCAGCGAUUCCGCCUUGAUUCGGAUCUCUGCCACCCCCCCCUCCCCCUUUCCCCCCGGACGUUAUCCCCAGCUGCUCUCUGCCAAAGGAGGCGCGUUAUUAUUUAUGAGGCUCGGAGUCCUGGAAAGGCCGGGCGGCUCCUCGUGCCCUGGCUCCGCUUGGGAGUUGGUCCCCUUCCUGGGAAGAGCCCCUGGCACCUCCGCUGCUUGCAGCUGCCGUGUGCGUUGAAUUCCUAAAUAAGCCGCCCUGGGGGUUUGCCCAUAUUCCCACUUUUCCCCCCUGCAAAGGCAAUUAGCAGGAAGCGACACGAGCCAGCCUGAAGGAUGAGUUUGCAACUGAUGGCGUUCGAAGCCGAGGACUGGAGUCCCUGUAAGAUGGCCUUGAAGUUAAGCCUAUAGCACAUGCUUCUCAAAAGGACCUAAAGAGAAGUUUUAACUGGGGCAGCUAUGCCGUGAAGAAUAUUUCUGCAUCAGCAAUUAAGAUCUAAAAGGCUUUAACAAGGUAGGUUUCCUAAGGAAUAUUGAAAAAAACGAAACCCUCCAAGAAAGCAAAGCUUUCUAUUUUAAUGAGAACAAGAUCACAUGGAAAAAUUAGGAACAUUAUAUACACAGUUUAUUUACCUAAUUACCUGUACAGGUUAUAUUUAUUCUGUGAUUUGGAAGGUCACUGAGUAAUAAAAUAAUAUCUAUGUUCGUAAUAGAAGAUACUCUGUUUUAGAAAGUAAAGCAUUUAAAUUACCUAGUUCCAACUUUUUUAAGAUACAAUAUUCACAUUCUAUUUGAUUGAAAACCUCUCUACUCAAAAUUCACAGCAGAUUAUUUUAAAUAUGUGUUAUAGGGUACCAAUAACUGGAUUAUAAUGAAAUCUGAUGUCAUUGAUAUUCUAAUGCUUACAAACAUUAAUUUCAGUUAUUUUAAAAUUCUUUAAAAUUAAUUUAUCUCCCUACAGAAUUGAAACAUAAAAUUUUUAAAACAGUAAGAGUGCUAAUAUUAAACAGAGCAAUACAGAACAGUCUGGAUUCUGCAAAACUUUUAGUAUUUAAGCUGUUUUCUAAAAACCAAUAUUUUAAACAGAAAGAUUAUACACACAUCAUUUAAAAAUUACCUGUGUUCCCUGAACAAUAUAAAAUUUUUAUCUUUUUUAUAAUACAAUAUAUACUAGAUGCAAGAUGCAAACUUCAAGACCUCUCCAUGCCCGGCAGAAAUGCACAACAAUCAAUUUAUAGAAAAGGCAUGUCUUGUAACUUCGCAGCAACAAACACACUGCUCUAAUUCAAAUAAAAUGUAAUUAUGAAAAAAAA